UACAGAGACUGCGAGCGUUAUUCGGAUUCACUGGGCGUAAAGGGUGCGCAGGUGGCCAAGUGUGUUAGGCGUGAAAGCCCGGGGCUUAACCCCGGAAUUGCACCUAAAACUACAUGGCUAGAGCAUUGGAGAGGGGAGCAGAAUUCACGGUGUAGCAGUGAAAUGCGUAGAUAUCGUGAGGAAUACCAGAGGCGAAGGCGGCUCCCUGGACAAUUGCUGACACUCAGGCACGAAAGCGUGGGGAGCAAAAGGG
This 253-nucleotide ribosomal RNA is filed under the name uncultured prokaryote. Its description in RNAcentral is "partial 16S ribosomal RNA". It matches the Rfam family "Bacterial small subunit ribosomal RNA", at positions 524 to 776 of the family's 1533-position model. The record is from RNAcentral.